UUGUUCUCUCUCUCUUUCUCUCUCCAGGUCGAGACAUGGCCAACACAACCCUACCGGGUUAUCCCCCUCACGUACCCCCCACCGGCCAAGGCAGCUACCCCACCUCAACACUGGCCGGAAUGGUUCCUGGGAGUGAGUUUACAGGAAACCCUUACAGUCAUCCACAGUACACGACCUACAACGAGGCAUGGCGGUUCAGCAACCCAGCAUUACUAAGUUCCCCUUAUUAUUAUAGUGCCACAUCCAGAGGUUCCGGACCACCUACUGCUGCCACGGCAUAUGACCGCCACUAGUUACCAUGGAAACCAAAUCAACCACCACCACCACCACCACCUACACCAUGACUACAACCAUGGCUUCGGCAGCGUCCAUGUUGCCCCGGUGUGAACAGAGGGCAUGAGGUGAUACCGUUAAAGACAGCUAACAGGCAGCUUCAUUUCCUGGAUACUACACUACUACACACAACAGAAGAAGAACGGUCCUCCUGGAUACCACACUACUACACACAACAGAAGAAGAACGGUCCUCCUGGAUACCACACUACUACACACAACAGAAGAAGAACGGUCCUCCUGGAUACCACACUACUACACACAACAGAAGAAGAACGGUCCUCCUCGAUACCACACUACUACACACAACAGAAGAAGAACGGUCCUCCUGGAUACUACACUACUACACACAACAGAAGAAGAACGGUCCUCCUGGAUACCACACUGCUACACACAACAGAAGAAGAACGGUCCUCCUGGAUACUACACUACUACACACAACAGAAGAAGAACGGUCCUCCUGGAUACCACACUACUACACACAACAGAAGAAGAACGGUCCUCCUGGAUACCACACUACUACACACAACAGAAGAAGAACGGUCCUCCUGGAUACCACACUGCUACACACAACAGAAAAUUACCUGAUCGUUCGGGAUACCAUGCAGGCAACUUCCCAUCAACCAUGAAUUUGGUAAAAAAUGUAAAAUUCUUCAUUCUGAUCUGCGUGACUGUACAUUACCACUAGAGACUUUGAAAGACUAUAUAUACGUGAUACUACUGAGGUUACUGAGGUAAAAAGAAAAAAAAAAUACAAGUUUUGAAAAUGAAAAGGAGUAAUUUGUAUCUUUUCCUGUUUUGUAAAUGGUCCUCCGUUUGUUUUUCCUCCUUCGUGGAUCAAAACGUUACAUUACUUGACUGAUCUGUCGGCUGACGGAGGAACCCGUCCUGAGCUGAGAGUCCAGGACAGUAUAGUAGCAGGCUGUUGUUCCCCUUCCUUCUGCAUCGGUCUGAACCUUCUACUCUUACGGGCAGUGCAAUGAGAUCAAAGCUAAAAGACAUUGGCGUCGAAGCGACUAAGGCUGCCGCAGCUUGGUUCCACUCCUCUAUUACAAGCAAACGGACAGACAUUUUAUUUGUAACCAACCAAACGUUCAAGCAUGAUUAAAGGAAUCAGUUGCUUUUGUUUUGAUGAUGAUGAUGAUGAUGAUGAUGAUGCCAGGAGAAGAUUAUAAAGGCGGUGUUCUCUGUGAUACACAAUCAGACGGAGGGGAAAGUAAACAAGAAAAACGCUGAAUUGAUAAAUGAGAAGGACAUUGUGACAUACCGUGGUCUUCUAAUUUACAAGGUUUAAAAAAAUAAAUAAAAAAAAACCCUAGUAAAUAUAUUCUUAAAAUAUUUUUUUUAAUUUUGUUUUUAUAAUUGUUAUUUGACAUCUUAAUGAAUUGCAAAUAAUAUGCUUGACUUUUUGUUGUUGUCAUUUUUAUUUGUCAGGAUACUAGAAAUAAUCAGGCAGAAUCUAUUUUGUAUUUGUUUUUAAUUUUGCACUAUUUUUUUGAGUUUUGACACACUGGGAGCGCUAUUAUGCAGACUUUGACCUGGAGGUUUGACACACUGGGAGCGCUAUUAUGCAGACUUUGACCUGGAGGUUUGACACACUGGGAGACAUCAUCACGACAUCAUCACGACGUCAUCACGACGUCAUCACGACAUCAUCACGACAUCAUCACGACUUCAUCGUGACCUUUUGUUCUGGAGAGGCACUUCAGAUGUCGCUGCUUUCUGUUGACCGUUUCCUUGACUUCCCAGUAGCAUUAUGUCUGGAGACGCUUUGGUAAACACUACUGCAAUUCCCCCAGUUUGUCUCUACCUUAUGUAGUACGCUCACUAUCCACACAUACUCAACCCGGGAAGUUAGCUAGCUAACAUUUUAAGUUUGAACCUAAGUCUUUGGCAUUAAGAUAUAGCAUAACAUUUGCUCAAUUAACUAUUUUUCUUUGACUAACUAAUUAAAUCAUUAAUAGUCAAGUAUAAUGGUUAUUGCUUGCAUCCUGCUUGGCACCCUAUUCCCUUUAUAGUGCACUACUUUUGACCAGAAGUAGUGCACUACGUAGGGAAUAGGGUUCCAUUUGAUACGCAGAUAUAGUACAGUUAGUAUAGUAAUUUAAUUCUGAUGUGGCCGUCGUCACAUAAUGAUGUGUCAACAAAAGUUUCAACUAAAAAGCAAAGAUUUCAGUUAAAUGCCUUAAUCAUAUGCAGGUUGUUGUUGUUGUUGUUUUUUUUGUCAAGGUUUCAACUUCCUAUAUUUUUUUUCGUUUUGUCGUAUAAGACGUCAUGUGACUUAUCCAGUUGGUUUGUCUUGAAAUCACACCGGUAACACCGACCUGGCUGGAAGAAUGGGAGAAAAAAGAAACGUGAUUAAACAUGACCUUACAUAGUUUUUCAAGUGAAUGUAUUUUUUUUACCACAUUUGCCAAAGACUUUAGUUCUUGUUCUUGUUUCUUCUAUUUACAGCCUGCAUACGUCUGCAUUGUGAGAGCAGUAUUAUGGGGAGGAAAACACACACAAAUUGUCCGUUUAAUGAACAGUACAUGUAUCAAUUCUAUGCAGAGCAGAGAACGGUCGUCAUUAUUAUGCAUAUUUAGCUGUAAAAACCCAUAGGAAGGUGAUUGAAUUUAUUUAAUGUUAUGUUAUUUACAAAACUGUUGAUUUAUUUGUAGAAUAAUUUGUGUAUAAUGUGAAAACACUUGACUUUCACUCUGUAAAUACAGUCAAAUAAUAUGUACAUCUGUGAUCAUCUGUAUUAUGCCCUCUCGUCCACUGGAGUCUCACUGGUACAGGUCAAUAAUAAAGUGGUUAAACUCUUCUAAGUCAUGGUAGAGCACGGUACUACUUUCCUGUCAUGGUAGAGCACGGUACUACUUUCCUGUCAUGGUAGAGCACGGUACUACUUUCCUGUCAUGGUAGAGCACGGUACUACUUUCCUGUCAUGGUAGAGCACGGUACUACUUUCCUGUCAUGGUAGAGCACGGUACUACUUUCCUGUCAUGGUAGAGCACGGUACUACUUUCCUGUCAUGGUAGAGCACGGUACUACUUUCCUGUCAUGGUAGAGCACGGUACUACUUUCCUGUCAUGGUAGAGCACGGUACUACUUUCCUGUCAUGGUAGAGCACGGUACUACUUUCCUGUCAUGGUAGAGCACGGUACUACUUUCCUGUCAUGGUAGAGCACGGUACUACUUUCCUGUCAUGGUAGAGCACGGUACUACUUUCCUGUCAUGGUAGAGCACGGUACUACUUUCCUGUCAUGGUAGAGCACGGUACUACUUUCCUGUCAUGGUAGAGCACGGUACUACUUUCCUGUCAUGGUAGAGCACGGUACUACUUUCCUGUCAUGGUAGAGCACGGUACUACUUUCCUGUCAUGGUAGAGCACGGUACUACUUUCCUGUCAUGGUAGAGCACGGUACUACUUUCCUGUCAUGGUAGAGCACGGUACUACUUUCCUGUCAUGGUAGAGCACGGUACUACUUUCCUGUCAUGGUAGAGCACGGUACUACUUUCCUGUCAUGGUAGAGCACGGUACUACUUUCCUGUCAUGGUAGAGCACGGUACUACUUUCCUGUCAUGGUAGAGCACGGUACUACUUUCCUGUCAUGGUAGAGCACGGUACUACUUUCCUGUCAUGGUAGAGCACGGUACUACUUUCCUGUCAUGGUAGAGCACGGUACUACUUUCCUGUCAUGGUAGAGCACGGUACUACUUUCCUGUCAUGGUAGAGCACGGUACUACUUUCCUGUCAUGGUAGAGCACGGUACUACUUUCCUGUCAUGG
RNA transcript from Oncorhynchus kisutch (coho salmon), 4106 nucleotides. It is a transcript of the gene named paired box protein Pax-2a-like, with no coding region annotated. The record is from RefSeq and is a predicted model, not a curated record. NCBI's taxonomy places the organism in Eukaryota, Metazoa, Chordata, Actinopteri, Salmoniformes, Salmonidae. The transcript has 4 exons.